Long non-coding RNA from Vicia villosa (hairy vetch), 408 nucleotides. RefSeq lists it as uncharacterized. Lineage: Eukaryota; Viridiplantae; Streptophyta; Magnoliopsida; Fabales; Fabaceae. The transcript is spliced from 3 exons. The record is from RefSeq and is a predicted model, not a curated record.
CUUGGUUUCCCCUCCAUGAUACCUCUCAAACAGCUUACAUAGUCGGUGUUGCUGGAUGGGGUACCGGUCUAAAACUCGGCAGUAACCCGGCUGCUAUUACCUAGUUAACUCAUAGAGCACCUGGAAUAGGCCUCUUUUGGCUUAGAACCCUUUAGAAUUCUGGAGAGUUUUGGAGCUUGAAGGUGUAUUUGGACUCAUAAGCUCGGUUUGGACUAUCUACGUUUUUACGGUGUAGAUUCAAUUACAGACAGCGAUCAGGGCUGAAGUUGGCUUCAAAUGGUUUAAGAAAAGCUACUAGGAUGGACUCCAAACAAAAGGAUGAUACAAAUGUUGUCACUACUAAUAUUGCAUUAGCAUUGGCAGAGACUUCACAGCGAGGUGGUUCAUCAAAAAAAUAUUGGAUCAUGA